Non-coding RNA from Picea glauca (white spruce), 1488 nucleotides. NCBI's taxonomy places the organism in Eukaryota, Viridiplantae, Streptophyta, Pinopsida, Pinales, Pinaceae. The record is from Rfam.
CCCCAGCUCAGGCGAGAACACCCGCUGAGUUUAAGCAUAUAAUUAAGCGGAGGAAAAGAAACUUACAAGGAUUCCCCUAGUAACGGCGAGCGAACCGGGAAGAGCCCUACAUGAAAAUCGGGUGGCAGCGUCGCCUGAAUUGUAGUCUGUAGAAGCGUCCUUAGUGGCAGACUGGGCCCAAGUCCCCUGGAAGGGGGUGCCUGAGAGGGUGAUAGCCCCGUCGAGCCUGGACCCUGCCACACCACGAGGCGUUGUCGGUGAGUCAGGUUGUUUGGGAAUGCAACCCUAAUCGGGUGGUAAAUUCCGUCCAAGGAUAAAUACGGGUGAGAUACCGAUAGCGAACAAGUACCACGAGGGAAAGAUGAAAAGGAAUUUGAAAAGAGAGUUAAAGAGUGCUUGAAAUUGCUGGGAGGGAAGCGGAUGGAGGCUGGCGAUGCGUCUCGGUUGGAUGCGGAACAGCUCAAGCUGGUCCGUCGCUCGACUCCAGGUGUGAACCAGCACAGGCCGUUGCAUCGGCACAAGCGUGGGUGGAGUACUGCCUGUUGGUUUUUCAUUGUGGCGGUCGAGGAACGAAGCGUGCACCCUUGGGGCAGGCCACUGUGCACUUGCACGCUUGUGGUGUUGGUUGGAUGGCUUUCCAUUCGACCCAUCUUGAAACACAGACCAAGGAGUCUAACAUGUGUGCGAGUCGGUGGGUUUGUAAACCUGCGAGGCGUAAGGAAGCUGACGGGCGAGAACCCCUCUCCAUGGGGUGCAUUGUCGACUGAACUUGAGCUUGUGCAAAGGGUUUGAGUGCGAGCACACCUGUUGGGACCCGAAAGAUGGUGAACUAUGCCUGAGCAGGGCAAAGCCAGAGGAAACUCUGGUGGAGGCCCAUAGCGAUACUGACAUGCAAAUCGUUCGUCUGACUUGGGUAUAGGGGCAAAAGACUAAUCGAACCAUCUAAUAGCUGGUUUCCUUCGAAGUUUCCCUCAGGAUAGCUGGAGCUCACGUGCGAGUUUUAUCACGUAAAGCAAAUGAUUAGAGGCAUCGGGGGUGUAACGCCCUCAACCUAUUCUCAAACUUUAAAUAGGUAAGACGAUGCAGCUGCUCCAUUGAGUCGUGCCACGGAAUCGAGAGCUCCAAGUGGGCCAUUUUUGGUAAGCAGAACUAGCGAUGCGGGAUGAACCGAAAGUCGAGUUAUGGUGCCAAAUUGCGCACUAAUCCAGAUCCCACAAAGGGUGUUGGUUGAUUAAGACAGCAGGACGGUGGUCAUGGAAGUCGAAAUCCGCUAAGGAGUGUGUAGCAACUCACCUACCGAAUCAACUAGCCCCGAAAAUGGAUGGCACUGAAGCACGUGACCUAUACUCGACCGUCGGAGCAAUUGCCAGGCUUCGAUGAGUAGGAGGACGUGGGGGUCGUUGAGAAACCUUGGGCGUGAGCCUGGGUGGACCGGUCCCCGGUGCAGAUCUUGGUGGUAGUAGCAAAUAUUCAAAUGAGAACUUUGAA